This is a long non-coding RNA of Carassius auratus (goldfish), 2265 nucleotides long. RefSeq lists it as uncharacterized. The record is from RefSeq and is a predicted model, not a curated record. NCBI's taxonomy places the organism in Eukaryota, Metazoa, Chordata, Actinopteri, Cypriniformes, Cyprinidae. The transcript has 5 exons.
UUCCCAUAUGCAUGUAUGUGUUAAUAUGUUAAUUUAGUUGUUAAUUGAUUCAAAAGCUCAAAAACUAAUGACACAACAAGACUAAUGGAAAUACAGAGCCGAAGUAAAAAGAAACACACACCGUGUUAAUUAUGUCAUCUGAUAUAAUACAAAACAAUUUUAACAUAUUGCAUGAUCAAUGAAAAGGAAGACAGAAGAGAGGAUGUUGUAAGAUUGUGACAGGUUAAACAACAAUAUGCAAAUGAGCAGGUAGGAGUGAAAGGGAUGGAAAAACACUUUGGAAAAACCAAAAAAUCAGAUCAUUUACUGUCAAAGUAAAGUGUCAUGGACAGUUUCAGAGACAUUCACUACAUCUGAUGUCCUCUAGAAGAUGAGAAUAAAAUACUGGGAUAUUCAGACAUUAUGAAAACACAGACUUGAGCUCUGACUGUACACACUUCUGAAUAUAAACCAGAAGCAGAUCUAGAGACACACCUCAGCUCUAGAAAAACACUCCAAAUCUAGAAAAAGACUUGAGAUCUAGAAAAACACUUCAGAUGUAGACACACACUUCAAAUCUAGAAAAACACUUCAAAUCUAGAGACACACCUCAGCUCUAGAAAAACACUUCAAAUCUAGAAAAAGACUUGAGAUCUAGAAAAACACUUCAAAUCUAGAGACACACUUUAGAUCUGGACAUACACUUCAAAUCUAGAAAACACUUAAGAUCUAGAAAAACACUUCAGAUGUAGACACACACUUCAAAUCUAGACACACUUCAGUUCUAGACACAAACUUUAGAUCUGGACAAGAUCUACUAAGACAUACACUUCAAAUCUAGAAAACACUUCAGAUCUAGAGACACACUUCAGAUCUAGAGACACACACUUCAGAUGUACACACACUUCAGAUUUACACACACUUCAGCACAUCUCAGACAGUGAAGUGUCGCUCUCUGCUGGAGAUCUUCAGUAUUACAGCAGCUCAUCAGAUCUCAUCUUCUGAAGCUUUGGAACAGUCCUGGUUUUGUUUCACUGCAGCUUCAGGAUAUAGCGAGCUCCAGGAGUAACUUUACAUCUCAAUCAUCUUCUAUAUCUUAAUGAAAUUAAAACAUUAAUAAAAAAGUCCUUGUAUUGAGAAUGAACACAGAGAUGAUUCUUCAGACAGUAUUCUUCUCUGAACAGACCUGUGUGUGUUUCAAGUCCCAGAGAAAGUAAUUUCACACACUGUUAACUCAAGCAUAAACAUUAGUUUAGUCUGUAAUCUGGUUAGAGCGUUUCCUCUGAUCUGAGGUCAGUUAUCGCAGUGAAGGCGGUCAGCAGACAGUCAGAUGGAGGACUGAACCCGUGACGGUCAUGAGAACUUCUCAAGAGCUUCGAGAGCCCCACACACACACACACACACACACAAAGAGCAGAAUCACAGCAGACGGAUCAGAUCAGGAGUUUGUUCAUCAUGUCUUACGGCGGAUCAGGUUCAGGAUCUCGAGGUGAAUUCAGCGUUCAUUUCUCCAGCAGAAGUGGAGCAGGACUCAUCAGAGCUGAAGAGGCUGCAGGGAUCGCUCUGCUGGCCGUGGUCCUCACCGCGCUGCUCAUCCUGGGCUGCUGGUAUUACCGCCGGAGGGGGGGUACAAGAUGAUCCGGAGCGAGAGAAACAGCAGUCAGUCGUGGAGAGAGAUGAUGAGAGCGGGUCAGUACAGCGAGUCUGGAUCCGGAGAAGAGAACAAACUAGCCUUGAAUGAGUUCAGCAACCUGCAACCAGCGAUCCCGAACGCUCCUCCAGCCUACGAUAAGAUCGUCUCCGGACCGUCUCCUCCUCCUUACUCCCCUUGAGACACAGACCAGCGACCGGCUGGAGUCCUGACCGAGGCUUUCUGACCGAAGCACGUGGACUAUAACAUCUGACACCGGUGCCUUUAAACACAACGCCAUUCAUCAGACACGAGGCUAAUAAAGUCUCAAAUUCAUUUAAUCCAAUAAAGUUAUUGUUAUUGUUUUCUUAGUUAUAGAUUUAUUCUGGUUUAAAUGUUGUUUAUUUCUGUUCACUUCUAAUUACCUAAUUUACUUGUAAUAAUUCAUCUUUAUCAAACAUAUCUGUAUGUUAUCUGACUGAAAGUGAACACCUGUCAUGAAACACUUCUUCACACUUCAUCACAAAUCUCUGACAUAUACGAGACAAACUAGGUUUCUGAAGAGAUGCUGAGCUGUUUUUGUGCAAACUGUUCAAUGCAACACAUUAAACAAUAAAAUACUGCAUUUGCUUUCAUUUCCCCUUUCAAGUGAAAAA